GGAUGUGAGGGCGAUUCUGGCUGCGACAUCUGUCACCCACUUUGAUCGCCAGAGGUUGAUUCGGCUGAUCUGGCUGCAGGCGGGUGUCCCCUUCCCUCCCUCCACCGCUCCAUGUGCGUCCCUCCCGAAGCUGCGCGCUCGGUCGAAGAGGACGACCAUCCCCGAUAGAGGAGGACCAUUCUUCGGUCAAGGGUAUACGAGUAGCUGCGCUCCCCUGCUAAACUCCAACAAGCUCUCAAGAGUAAGUAAAGUGGUAGGGUGCUUGCCUAGUAAGGGCAAGGCCAUGGUUCAAUUCCCAGGACAACACACAAGUAAGUUGUCUUUUUUC
Molecule: small nuclear RNA, 328 nt
Filed under: Castor canadensis (American beaver)
Lineage: Eukaryota; Metazoa; Chordata; Mammalia; Rodentia; Castoridae
Description: 7SK RNA (ENSCCNG00000013220.1)
Rfam family: 7SK RNA
About the family: 7SK was discovered as an abundant small nuclear RNA in the mid-70s but a possible function has only recently been suggested. Two independent studies have found that 7SK RNA binds the CDK9/cyclin T complex (known as elongation factor P-TEFb). P-TEFb activates transcription by phosphorylating the C-terminal domain of RNA polymerase II.
Source: Rfam by way of RNAcentral